RNAcentral lists this ribosomal RNA (494 nucleotides) under uncultured bacterium. RNAcentral's name for it is "partial 16S ribosomal RNA". It matches the Rfam family "Bacterial small subunit ribosomal RNA", at positions 28 to 507 of the family's 1533-position model. The record is from RNAcentral.
GACGAACGCUGGCGGCGUGCUUAACACAUGCAAGUCGAACGGUGAAGCGCCUUCCUUUUUGGUGGGUGUGGAUGAGUGGCGAACGGGUGAGUAACACGUGAGUAACCUGCUCCCUUCUUCUGGAUAACCGCAUGAAAGUGUGGCUAAUACGGGAUAUUCUGUGUCUGUCGCAUGAUGGGUCUGGGAAAGAUAUUGUUUCGGUGGGGGAUGGGCUCGCGGCCUAUCAGCUUGUUGGUGGGGUGAUGGCCUACCAAGGCGGUGACGGGUAGCCGGCCUGAGAGGGUGGACGGUCACACUGGGACUGAGACACGGACCAGACUCCUACGGGAGGCAGCAGUGGGGAAUAUUGCACAAUGGGCGCAAGCCUGAUGCAGCGACGCCGCGUGAGGGAUGGAGGCCUGCGGGUUGUGAACCUCUUUCGCCAGUGAAGCAGGCCUGCCUCGUUUGUGGGUGGGUUGACGGUAGCUGGAGAAGAAGCGCCGGCUAACUACGUG